UGGGGGAUAUUGCACAAUGGGCGAAAGCCUGAUGCAGCGACGCCGCGUGGGGGAUGAAGGCUUUCGGGUUGUAAACCUCUUUCGCUAUCGAACAAGGCCCGCUUAGGGUGGGUUGAGGGUAGGUGGAGAAGAAGCGCCGGCUAACUACGUGCCAGCAGCCGCGGUAAUACGUAGGGCGCGAGCGUUGUCCGGAAUUAGUGGGCGUAAAGGGCUUGUAGGCGGCUUGUUGCGCCUGCUGUGAAAACGCGGGGCUUAACUUCGCGCGUGCAGUGGGUACGGGCAGGCUUGAGUGUGGUAGGGGUGACUGGAAUUCCAGGUGUAGCGGUGGAAUGCGCAGAUAUCUGGAGGAACACAGAUGGCGAAGGCAGGUCACUGGGCCAUUACUGACGCUGAGGAGCGAAAGCAUGGGUAGCGAACAGG
This 420-nucleotide ribosomal RNA is filed under the name bacterium. RNAcentral describes it as "partial 16S ribosomal RNA". It matches the Rfam family "Bacterial small subunit ribosomal RNA", at positions 355 to 776 of the family's 1533-position model. The record is from RNAcentral.